CCCUUCGAUGUUCUGGGCCGCACGCGCGCUACACUGACGAUGGCAACGAGUUUUUCCUUCGCCGAAAGGUGUGGGUAAUCUUUUGAAACAUCGUCGUGCUGGGGAUAGAUCAUUGCAAUUUUUGAUCUUGAACGAGGAAUUCCUAGUAAGCGCGAGUCAUCAGCUCGCGUUGAUUACGUCCCUGCCCUUUGUACACACCGCCCGUCGCUACUACCGAUUGAAUGGUUUAGUGAGGACUCCUGAUUGGCGCCGCCGCCCCGGCAACGGAGCAGCGGACUGCCGAAAAGUUGUUCAAACUUGAUCAUUUAGAGGAAGUAAAAGUCGUAACA
RNAcentral lists this ribosomal RNA (329 nucleotides) under uncultured eukaryote. RNAcentral describes it as "partial 18S ribosomal RNA". It matches the Rfam family "Eukaryotic small subunit ribosomal RNA", at positions 1470 to 1796 of the family's 1831-position model. The record is from RNAcentral.